This 2605-nucleotide long non-coding RNA is filed under the name Panax ginseng (ginseng). RNAcentral describes it as "long non-coding RNA (PGIN_LNC007590)". Lineage: Eukaryota; Viridiplantae; Streptophyta; Magnoliopsida; Apiales; Araliaceae. The record is from RNAcentral.
AACCCGAAGGUUUUUAAUCUUGCUCAACAAUAAUAUGUAAUUCAACAUAUAUGUGUACGGGUAAUUGAAAAAGUGUAUCAACAUGUGAAUAAAUACCAUGAUUAUCCAAGUGGGGACACUUGUAUAACCAUUUAGAAAUCAAUGAACAGAAUAUAUAUCUGAGCUAACAUGUUGAUAAUCAAAGCGUACAUAAUCUGUACAGGAAUAGAAAAGAAUUCUGAAACUCUCUUACUCAUGUCCAUUGCAUAAAGGAAAUGCAAAGGUAGGAUACUUGCCUGAUUCGCUGAUGACAAAUCUCAACUCAGGUUUUAUCUCUUUAUCACAACCUAUCAAUAAUCAGAGCAUUCGUUCGAUUAGAACAAUAUAUCUUAACACAAAGUACUGUCUAUUACAGUCAGCACAUAAUCACAGUGAUCAUACUUUUAGUUCCUAUUCUAUACUUGAAAUAUUUUUAUACAUUUUUCAAAUAUCUCAUCCAUGCUCUUACAGUAGCCUUUUCUUUCUAUUAUAGGGUCUUACAUUUGUCGGCGUACCGACAACUUUAUCGGGUAAAUACUGAGUCUAAGACUCUUAUUCUAUACCUCAACAUCUGCAAAUAUCAGACAUCUUAUUUUUAACCAUUUUCGAAAUUUCCAGAAAUUGAAAAUUUUUAAAUAAUUCAAAUCUGUCACUAAAGGGCCUAUAGUAAUAUAACUGUUACUAUAGGUGUUCUUCUUCAAAUUCAGAACUUCAUAAUCGGUUCUCAAGUCAGCUAGUUUGGCCGGCUAUAACUUUCAAACAUCGGAAUCAUAAUUAAAUGAUUUAAACAUUAAACAAUUCCAUUAUCAUUAAUAAUUAAUUUAUAUUAAACUAUUAAUGAAACCAUUGCCAAAAUAUAAAAGUUAUUUAUAAUAACUCAAACUAUUUUUAAAACAUUUAUAUUACCCUUAAAUGAUUUUUAAAACAAUUAAAAUCAUUUUUAAAUAAUCACCAUUAAUAUAUAAAUAUUAAUGUACUAUUCAUCCAAAUAUUAAAAGUCAUUAAUUAUAACUUAAAAUAUUUUUAAAUCCUUAAUAUCCUCUUUAAAUGAUUUUUAAAUAAAUAAAACCAUUUUUAAACUAUUUAUUUAAUAAUAAUUAUUAAAUAAACUAAAUAUCAUUAAUAUUAUCUUAAUAUCAUUAAUAUUAAAUUAUUAAUGAAAUUAUCCUUUAAAUAUUAAAAGUUAUAUUUUAUAACUUAAAAUAUUUUUAAAUACCUUAAUUUCAUUUAAAAUGAUUUUUAUAAUAUUAAAAUCAUUUUUAAACUAAAUUAUUUAAUAUAAUCAUUAAAUAACUUUAAUAUCAUUAAUAUAUAAUUAAUUAAUGAAAUUCAUCACAAAAUAUUAAAAGUCAUGGGAAAUAACUUAAAAUAUUUUCUUAUACCAUAAAAUAAUUUUUCAUGAUUUUUCAUGAAUUAAAACUAUUUUUAAAUCAUUUAUUUAAUAUUAUAAUUAAAUAAAUAAAUACCUUUUAUAUUCCAAAAAUAUUAAAUAUUUAUGAAAUAUACUCAAAAUAAUUAAAAACUAUUUUUCGGACUUUAAAAUAAUUUUUCAGAAUUUAUUUGGUAUUUUUAAUAAUUAAAAUCUAAAUUUUCUAAUUUUUAAAUUAAUUUCCAGAAAAUAAUAAUAAUAACCAUCGUUAAAGGCCCCUAUAGCGACAGAACCGUCUCUAUAGGUGUUCUUGAGCCUGCCCAGAAAUCCUAAGGCAGAACCGAGUAGCCUACUUUGACCGUGUGUAGUUUUAUGUGUGUUGCAAUUCUGGCAAUGUUCUUGGUCAGAUCGUGUAGAGGAAAUACAAGACUACAAGAUCCAACAAACAUCAUGGCUAUCCAACAUCAGAUCUGGGAGAAAAUGGUCAUCAAAGUAGCUGUCAGAGCUGUUCUUCGUGAAGAACAGUUCGAGAUGGCUACUUUGAACCUCUAUAUCUUGAUGAUCGUGUAACGUUUAUGUGAUCUAUCAAUUCUAGUGUGUAGACAACAUGUAAGACUACAACUUUAACACUUAACAUCAUCAUAACAACAACAGAUCUAACGGGAAAUGGCUGGUCAAAGUGCAACACGGAAACUGUUCAUGAAAAAUCUGGUUUCGCUAGUUUGGCAAAUUUGGUCAACGGGUUUGACCGCUUAUAUCUCUCAAUCUAAAACUGAUCUUGACUUGAUUCUUUUUGCAUCUUAAAGACCACAUAUCAGGCUACAUGUUACAAGUUUUAAACAUCAAAAACACUAAACAAACACUAAUCUAUGGGGUCUGACAUUUGCUUGUCAGACCAUAUUUUUGGUUUUUGCAAAGUUUGAAAAAAUUUGAUUUUGAGCACUUUGAUGUUAUGGGUCAUGAAUUUAACAACUCAGAACAUUAAUAGACUCCUUAUUACACAACUUUAAACAAUAUAUUGCAUCAAUUAACAUCGAAUCGAAGGAUUUCUAGAAUUUAAGGUUUCCUACCUUUUUGAGCUUCGAUUCUUGAAUUUCUGACUUUGAUUCGUUGUUGUGAUGGUUGGGCUUUGAUUAUAGACUGAUCUAGCAAGCUAAUUUCGUAGCUUUUAGAGAGAGAGAGUCUAAGAUGAGUGUUGGGAGAAAAAUGAGAUUAAAG